AGGGCUUGACAUCCUGCUGACAGGACCUUAACCGGUCCCUUCUUCGGACAGCAGAGACAGGUGGUGCAUGGUUGUCGUCAGCUCGUGUCGUGAGAUGUUGGGUUAAGUCCCGCAACGAGCGCAACCCUUGUCGCUAGUUACUAACAUUCAGUUGAGGACUCUAGCGAGACUGCCGAGGUCAACUCGGAGGAAGGUGGGGAUGACGUCAAAUCAUCAUGCCCCUUAUGUUCUGGGCUACACACGUGCUACAAUGGUCGGUACAAUGAGAGGCAAUACUGUGAAGUGGAGCAAAUCACCAAAACCGAUCCCAGUUCGGAUUGUAGGCUGCAACUCGCCUACAUGAAGUUGGAGUUGCUAGUAAUCGCAGAUCAGAAUGCUGCGGUGAAUGCGUUCCCGGGUC
This 400-nucleotide ribosomal RNA is filed under the name uncultured bacterium. Its description in RNAcentral is "bacterial SSU rRNA". It matches the Rfam family "Bacterial small subunit ribosomal RNA", at positions 976 to 1380 of the family's 1533-position model. The record is from RNAcentral.